AUACGGAGGUCCCAAGCGUUAUUCGGAAUCACUGGGCGUAAAGAGUACGUAGGCGGUUUGGUAAGUCAGGUGUGAAAUCCCGGAGCUCAACUCCGGAACUGCAUCCGAUACUGCCAGACUUGAGUAAUGGAGAGGCAGGUGGAAUUCUCGGUGUAGCAGUGAAAUGCGUGGAUAUCGAGAGGAAGACCAAUGGCGAAGGCAGCCUGCUGGACAUUUACUGACGCUGAGGUACGAAGGCUAGGGGAGCGAAAGGGAUUAGAAACCCCAGUAGUCC
RNAcentral lists this ribosomal RNA (274 nucleotides) under uncultured bacterium. RNAcentral describes it as "partial 16S ribosomal RNA". It matches the Rfam family "Bacterial small subunit ribosomal RNA", at positions 523 to 796 of the family's 1533-position model. The record is from RNAcentral.